This 1858-nucleotide non-coding RNA is filed under the name Pongo abelii (Sumatran orangutan). Lineage: Eukaryota; Metazoa; Chordata; Mammalia; Primates; Hominidae. The record is from RNAcentral.
GCUAUUUGUAUAUUGCAUGAUAUUUUAUCAGGAAAAAAAAUAAAACAGAUCUAAUUUCAUGAAAAUGCUGUUGCCAUAAUGCUCAGGAGAACAGGGGGAAGAGAGAGAUUCAAGUCUUCCUAAUGUCUGCCUUAUAUGCAGAGCCUUGGAAAGAUGGGCAAAUGCUCUGUGACAAGCCACCAGGGUAGACUGGUACUGAAAAGACCCUAUUACACAUUUGGCUCUGUCCCUGGCUGGAAAGUUACAAGUCAGCUUACCUCUCUGUGGUCCAGUUUCCACACCUACUACUCUUUAUCCCAUGAGGAGCUUCUGGAAACUAAAAAAGCAGCUGCCCAGGUAGAACAGUGUUGACCAAAGGACACAUCACCAACACAGACUGUUAAUCAUGUGACUAAAGAAAACUCUCAUGGCGGCAUUCAAAUUUCCAUAUCCUUCGUCUAUGGACAUUUCUGAGAAAUCCAGAAAAGGAGCGUAACCACGAGGGAAAGUGAAUCCUGCAGACUUGAACAUUCCAGACUUACCAGGUGACCCAGCUGUCUGGCAGUGGGAAGAGGCUGAGGCGCCCCCUUCUGGUGCCUCUGAAUAGUAAGAAACCCUGUGUAGAAAGAAACCCUGUAGCAAUUGGCCACCUUCUCUGUCAUCUGUCCACUUCCAAUACCAACAUUGUUGCUUUUUAAAUGACAUCCAUCCUAAGCUUAAAAAAAACACAUAUUAUUUGUAUAAAAUGUGGAAGACGCAGAAUAAAAAAUGUAAAACACAUGUAAUCAUCCCUUCCAGAAAUAAUUAUUGUUAAAAUUUCUGUGUAUGUGUAAAAAAAAAAUUGCAAUCCUACUGUAAUAUAAUCCUGUAUACUGAUAUUUUUCACCUAUCACUGUAUGUUGAGCAUUUUCAAUAGUCAAAUUAUUUCUUGAAAAUAUUAAUGACUGGGGAGUAACCUUUCAAAUAGGUGUGUCUUUAUUUUUAAACCAGUCCACAAUUAUUGUAUAUUGAAGUCAUUUCCCAAAUUUUGUAAGUAUAAAUAUUGUAUCCAUCCUUAUAUGUAUUUAAAUGCAUCUCUUAUUAUUUCCUUGAGAUAAGUUCCUAGAAGUGGAAUCACUGGAUCUAAAAAUAUGGACAUAUUUGUGCCAGACGCCAUGGGUCAUGCUUGCAAUCCCAGCACUUUGGGAGACCGAAGCAGGUGGAUCACUUGAGGUCAGGAGUUCAAGACCAGCCUGGCCAACAUAGUGAAACCCCAUCUCUACUAAAAUUACAAAAAUUAGCCAGGUGUGGUGGCGCACGCCUGUAAUCCCAGCUACUCGGGACGCUGAGGCAUAAGAAUCACUUGAACCCAGGAGGCGGAGGUUGCAGUGAGCCGAGAUGGCACCACUGUGCUCCAGUCUGGGUGACAGAGUAAGACUUCAUCUCAAAAAUAAAUAAAUAAAAUUAAAAUUAAAUAAGAUAAAUAAAAAAUAAAAAUGUAGACAUAUUUAAGAUCUUCACAUAUAUUACCAACUGCCCUCCUGAAAGUUUUUAUCUGUUACAUUCCAACCAAUAGUGUAAGGGCAUGACUCUUUCCCUGUGUUUUGGGAUGGAUGUUAUCAAAGUUCUCUCCCACCCAGGUCAAGUAUGGUAUAAGCUUUGUUUUAAUUUGAAUUUUUAAUUUAUUAUUUAAAAUGGACAUUUUGUUGUCCAUUUGAACAACUUUCUUUUGUGUCACUGUUCAUGUUCUUUGCCCAUUGUUUCUCUUUUAUUAGUAAGAACCCUAUUCUCAUUUUUAUAUUUUAAAUAAAAUUUCAUUGUAUAUACAUUUAUAUUAUCUAUAGUAAAGUAUAUUUUAUUAUUAAUGAGAACUCUUUUUAUAUUAAAGAUCCUAACCUAC